UUUCUCCCUUUCUCCUUUCUUUGUCUUUCACUUCUUCUCUUUCUUCUUUAAUUGAACAUUAAAUAACAGUGCAAGACAAAAUAAAGGUCACACGUUGGGCUUCUUCUUACAAGUUAAAGGGUAUCUCCAGAGCUUCUCUCCCCUUCCAUUUUUCUUUUCUUUGUUCCUUUCUUUAAACAUUAAACAACAGUGCAAGACAAAUCAGAGGUCAUACAUUGGUCUUCUUCUUGCAGGUUAAAGGGUUUUUGUCGAAAUUUUCUUCGACUACUCACUUUUCAUGACUGGUUGCAACCAUUAUCGGUAGUAAAACAUUUGCCAAAGAAGAAGUCCCAAAUAUUAGAUUUUUUGUACAGGCUAGAAGCGGUAAAACCAUUUUAUGGUUUGCAUUGUAUUGACAUAAAGGGGUAUCGAAGACUGCUACUUUUGCUUAAUGUUGAAUUUUGCAUACAAGUUCCGUGAAGAAUUACGGGCUGAAUUUCUAGGAUGAAGAGUGCGAAAGUUGAUUAACUACUUGAGAUGACUGCUUUUUCACUUUUCUCCUAUACUGUCAUGAUCAAGACGCAAGAUAAUAUCUUUCCAACCACGAUCAGUGUGCAUUUGACAGUUUGAAUUUCUUUUUUUUUUCUUAAUUCUUGCCCCGGUGAUGAUUAGUAAUCAUCCAAAAUUAUUUAUGUAUAAAUAUAUUUAUGGGAACAUCAACGAUUGUCUAGGGAUCAACUGGCCUCUUUACUUAUUCGAUAAUUCCUUUCUCAUAUUUUUUUUUCUAUGAUAGCGUUAUUGCGUUCAA
Long non-coding RNA from Coffea eugenioides, 787 nucleotides. RefSeq lists it as uncharacterized. NCBI's taxonomy places the organism in Eukaryota, Viridiplantae, Streptophyta, Magnoliopsida, Gentianales, Rubiaceae. The transcript is spliced from 5 exons. The record is from RefSeq and is a predicted model, not a curated record.